This 482-nucleotide ribosomal RNA is filed under the name uncultured bacterium. RNAcentral's name for it is "partial 16S ribosomal RNA". It matches the Rfam family "Bacterial small subunit ribosomal RNA", at positions 28 to 507 of the family's 1533-position model. The record is from RNAcentral.
GAUGAACGCUAGCGGCAGGCCUAAUACAUGCAAGUCGGACGGGAUUCAGGAGCUUGCUUCUGAUGAGAGUGGCGCACGGGUGCGUAACACGUAUGUAACCUACCUUUAUCAGGGGGACAGCCUCUCGAAAGAGAGAUUAAGCCCGCAUAAAAUCACAGCACAGCAUUGUGUAAUGAUCAAAUAUUUAUAGGAUAAAGAUGGGCAUGCGGAACAUUAGCUAGAUGGCGGGGUAACGGCCCACCAUGGCGACGAUGUUUAGGGGAUCUGAGAGGAUGGCCCCCCACACUGGUACUGAGACACGGACCAGACUCCUACGGGAGGCAGCAGUAAGGAAUAUUGGUCAAUGGGCGGAAGCCUGAACCAGCCAUGCCGCGUGCAGGAAGACGGCCCUACGGGUUGUAAACUGCUUUUAUACGGGAAUAAACCCAGAUACGUGUAUCUGGCUGAAUGUACUGUAAGAAUAAGGAUCGGCUAACUCCGUG